AUGAAUGUAUACGGUGUCGUUUCGCUUAGCACGACCCUUCAACUUCUUUACUCACCUCUGAUUCUCUUUCUCGUUUUCAAGCAGCGAUUUCCGGCAAGCAUGCCGCCGCGAGCGCCACCACUAAACCAGUCUAAAUCACCAUGGUCCAACACUGCAGUUGUGUUUCGUCUCAAUCGCAGAUUUCAGAUUUCAAUGGCUAAUAUGAACAUGAACAAAUCAAUAUACGAGAAUUGA
Vicia faba (fava bean) is the source of this 234-nucleotide non-coding RNA. Lineage: Eukaryota; Viridiplantae; Streptophyta; Magnoliopsida; Fabales; Fabaceae. The record is from the annotation of a GenBank genome assembly.